Mytilus californianus (California mussel) is the source of this 539-nucleotide long non-coding RNA. RefSeq lists it as uncharacterized. The transcript has 3 exons. NCBI's taxonomy places the organism in Eukaryota, Metazoa, Mollusca, Bivalvia, Mytilida, Mytilidae. The record is from RefSeq and is a predicted model, not a curated record.
CCCUUAUAGGAAAUACGCUAUCCGAAUAAAAGUUGUAUCCGUGACAAAUAUGUUCCUAUGGAUAUAUAUAGUUUUACCAGUAACCCUGGGCUUUAAUGCGACUUGUCCAGACAUGUUACAGAGAGUUAUACGAUCUAAAUAUGUUUGCAAAGAAAGUUCAAUGGAGCAUUAUUCCUGUUUAUUUGAUGAACUUAACCAGUCAUACGUAGAAUCAUGUGCGGAUCCAGAUUUUGUUAGCCAUGGACAAAAAUAUAUUGUCAGCGGGCUACGACGAAAUACUCAUUGUUCUUCUAAAAGAUAUCAACCAUUUAAGUUUUGGUCAAAUAUGUCAAGUCAAUGUAUCUUUGCAAAAUCAACCUGCAAUGAAAUUGGACAAAUACUCGUCGAUAACGUAUCCACAAGUAAAGACACAUUAUGUCGAUGUGACUACACAAAAGGACUUGGCUUUAUUAAAAAACCAAGAAAUUCUUGUUUCUGCAUACCAUCAGAAGAAGACUGUUCAUGUUACCCUGUGUCGUGUCCUCUGAAUUAUACACUUA